This 484-nucleotide ribosomal RNA is filed under the name uncultured bacterium. Its description in RNAcentral is "partial 16S ribosomal RNA". It matches the Rfam family "Bacterial small subunit ribosomal RNA", at positions 30 to 507 of the family's 1533-position model. The record is from RNAcentral.
AUUGAACGCUGGCGGCAGGCCUAACACAUGCAAGUCGAGCGGAUGAAGGGAGCUUGCUCCUGGAUUCAGCGGCGGACGGGUGAGUAAUGCCUAGGAAUCUGCCUGGUAGUGGGGGAUAACGUCCGGAAACGGGCGCUAAUACCGCAUACGUCCUGAGGGAGAAAGUGGGGGAUCUUCGGACCUCACGCUAUCAGAUGAGCCUAGGUCGGAUUAGCUAGUUGGUGGGGUAAAGGCCUACCAAGGCGACGAUCCGUAACUGGUCUGAGAGGAUGAUCAGUCACACUGGAACUGAGACACGGUCCAGACUCCUACGGGAGGCAGCAGUGGGGAAUAUUCGACAAUGGGCGAAAGCCUGACGGAGCCACGCCGCGUGUGUGAAGAAGGUCUUCGGAUUGUAAAGCACUUUAAGUUGGGAGGAAGGGAAGUAAGUGAAUCCAUUGCCGUCUUGACGUUACCUACAGAAAAAGCACCGGCUAACUACGUG